UUUAGUCAGGCAACGAGCGAGACCCGCACUCUUAAUUGCCAGCAGCAGUUUCGACUGGCUGGGUACAUUAGGAGGACUGCCAGUGCCAAACUGGAGGAAGGAACGGGCAACGGUAGGUCAGUAUGCCCCGAAUGAGCUGGGCUACACGCGGGCUACAAUGGUCGAGACAAUGGGAAGCCACCUCGAGAGAGGGCGCUAAUCUCCGAAACUCGAUCGUAGUUCGGAUUGUGGGCUGAAACUCGCCCACAUGAAGCUGGAUUCGGUAGUAAUCGCGUCUCAGAAGGGCGCGGUGAAUACGUCCCUGCUCCUUGCACA
RNAcentral lists this ribosomal RNA (315 nucleotides) under uncultured archaeon. RNAcentral describes it as "bacterial SSU rRNA". It matches the Rfam family "Archaeal small subunit ribosomal RNA", at positions 1029 to 1343 of the family's 1478-position model. The record is from RNAcentral.